GCAGUCGACGGGAUCUCUGGUAAGCUUGCUUAUUGGUAGUGAGAGUGGCGCACGGGUGCGUAACGCGUGAGCAACCUACCCUUGUCAGGGGGAUAGCCCGGCGAAAGUCGGAUUAAUACCGCAUGACAUCAUUGAGAGGCACCUUUCGAUGAUCAAAGAUUUAUCGGACAAGGAUGGGCUCGCGUGACAUUAGCUAGUUGGUAAGGUAACGGCUUACCAAGGCUACGAUGUCUAGGGGCUCUGAGAGGAGAAUCCCCCACACUGGUACUGAGACACGGACCAGACUCCUACGGGAGGCAGCAGUAAGGAAUAUUGGUCAAUGGACGGAAGUCUGAACCAGCCAUGCCGCGUGCAGGAAGACUGCCCUAUGGGUUGUAAACUGCUUUUAUACGGGAACAAACGUCGGUACGUGUACCGGUCUGAGUGUACCGUAAGAAUAAGGAUCGGCUAACUCCGUGCCAGCAGCCGCGGUAAUACGGAGGAUCCGAGCGUUAUCCGGAAUUAUUGGGUUUAAAGGGUGCGUAGGCGGCCAGAUAAGUCAGGGGUGAAAGUCGGCAGCUCAACUGUCGCAGUGCCUUUGAUACUGUUUGGCUUGAAUUCGGUUGAAGAUGGCGGAAUGAGACAAGUAGCGGUGAAAUGCAUAGGUAUGUCUCAGAACACCGAUUGCGAAGGCGCUAUCUAAGCCGUUAUUGACGCUGAUGCACGAAAGCGUGGGGAGCAAACAGAUAGAUACCUGGUAGU
Molecule: ribosomal RNA, 741 nt
Filed under: uncultured bacterium
Lineage: Bacteria
Description: bacterial SSU rRNA
Rfam family: Bacterial small subunit ribosomal RNA
Source: RNAcentral